GGCCUGAGAGGGCGACCGGCCACACUGGGACUGAGACACGGCCCAGACUCCUACGGGAGGCAGCAGUGGGGAAUAUUGCACAAUGGGCGAAAGCCUGAUGCAGCGACGCCGCGUGAGGGAUGACGGCCUUCGGGUUGUAAACCUCUUUCAGCAGGGAAGAAGCGAAAGUGACGGUACCUGCAGAAGAAGCGCCGGCUAACUACGUGCCAGCAGCCGCGGUAAUACGUAGGGCGCGAGCGUUGUCCGGAAUUAUUGGGCGUAAAGAGCUCGUAGGCGGUCUGUCGCGUCGGAUGUGAAAGCCCGGGGCUUAACCCCGGGUCUGCAUUCGAUACGGGCAGGCUAGAGUGUGGUAGGGGAGAUCGGAAUUCCUGGUGUAGCGGUGAAAUGCGCAGAUAUCAGGAGGAACACCGGUGGCGAAGGCGGAUCUCUGGGCCAUUACUGACGCUGAGGAGCGAAAGCGUGGGGAGCGAACAGGAUUAGAUACCCUGGUAGUCCACGCCGUAAACGGUGGGAACUAGGUGUUGGCGACAUUCCACGUCGUCGGUGCCGCAGCUAACGCAUUAAGUUCCCCGCCUGGGGAGUACGGCCGCAAGGCUAAAACUCAAAGGAAUGACGG
This 616-nucleotide ribosomal RNA is filed under the name uncultured bacterium. RNAcentral describes it as "bacterial SSU rRNA". It matches the Rfam family "Bacterial small subunit ribosomal RNA", at positions 289 to 916 of the family's 1533-position model. The record is from RNAcentral.